AUUGAACGCUGGCGGAAUGCUUUACACAUGCAAGUCGAACGGUAGAGGGGGCAACCCCUUGAGAGUGGCGAACGGGUGAGUAAUAUAUCGGAACGUGCCCAGUCGUGGGGAUAACGUAGCGAAAGUUACGCUAAUACCGCAUACGAUCUAAGGAUGAAAGCGGGGGAUCGCAAGACCUCGCGCGAUUGGAGCGGCCGAUAUCAGAUUAGGUAGUUGGUGAGGUAAAGGCUCACCAAGCCAACGAUCUGUAGCUGGUCUGAGAGGACGACCAGCCACACUGGAACUGAGACACGGUCCAGACUCCUACGGGAGGCAGCAGUGGGGAAUUUUGGACAAUGGACGCAAGUCUGAUCCAGCCAUUCCGCGUGCAGGAUGAAGGCCCUCGGGUUGUAAACUGCUUUUGUACGGAACGAAAAGGUUUGUCGUUAAUACGAUGAGCUCAUGACGGUACCGUAAGGAAUAAGCACCGGCUAACUACGUGCCAGCAGCCGCGGUAAAGUG
RNAcentral lists this ribosomal RNA (501 nucleotides) under uncultured bacterium. RNAcentral's name for it is "bacterial SSU rRNA". It matches the Rfam family "Bacterial small subunit ribosomal RNA", at positions 30 to 527 of the family's 1533-position model. The record is from RNAcentral.